This is a long non-coding RNA of Caenorhabditis elegans, 920 nucleotides long. Ensembl annotates it as ncRNA. Its record names the gene linc-134. The record is from Ensembl. Lineage: Eukaryota; Metazoa; Nematoda; Chromadorea; Rhabditida; Rhabditidae.
CGUUGCCUUUUAGCUUAAUAAAACUUUAAUUUGGUAGAAACAAAACACUUUAUUAGAAAAACAAAUGAUAACAACAAGAAUCAAUUUAAAAAAUUAGAAUAAGUAACAAAUAAAUAAGUGCAGCUAAUGCUGAGUGGAGGAGCCGGCCAUCGUUGCCAAUCAGCUUGAAGUGUUUUGUCCUUUGUCAUUGGAAUUAUUAUUUCUUCAAUCAAAAGGACUUUGUUAAAUUUACAGCAUCAAAAUCACUUCAAAGCUUGUAGAAGUAAAGCAGAACGCGUCUUUAUAGAAGUCAAUCUGCGACUUUUGCGACAGUUUUGAAGGCGUCUUCCGAAGCAAGUACAAACUUGUUAUCGGCGACUUCAAUGCUCGAAAGGUAUGCAGACAAAGCAGCGAAACGAAAUCAUGACGUAACACCUUCCCCCUCUCUCUUUCAGGAAGAUAGCCGACCAAAACAUCGUAAAGAUUGGAGGUGAUGGCGAAAUUGUAGACGUACCAAGUUGGUGAUACCAACUAUGCUGCUAAAUACUUGGCACAUCGCCGAUGCUACUUACAGGCAGUCUGUCAUCUGCAUAUGUAACACCUCCCCCUCACACUUCAGGCGGAUGGCAUAUCAUCUUCAUCGUUCUUCACUCUGUUCACAGGCAGAUCACAGGCACAUGCAAUGUUAUGUUCACAAUGAUUCAUACAGUAAGUAAUUAGAGUCAGAAAUCAGUCGAAAUAUAUUUUUAUGUUGUGAAACAGUGAAAAAGUUGUUUGUGGCAAACGUUUGGCACAGUACUAUUUCAUUCUCUCGAGCCUUCCUCAGUUAAGAAAACUCUUUUUUUUUCUCUACCCGUGGAAUUUUUUGAACAAUCUCACAUUCUUUGUUUUUGUGGCUGUUUUUUUUGAGUGGUCAAUUCCUCAUAAAACUGAUUUUUCGC